This 301-nucleotide ribosomal RNA is filed under the name uncultured bacterium. RNAcentral's name for it is "partial 16S ribosomal RNA". It matches the Rfam family "Bacterial small subunit ribosomal RNA", at positions 509 to 810 of the family's 1533-position model. The record is from RNAcentral.
CAGCCGCCGCGGGAAUACGUAGGUCCCGAGCGUUGUCCGGACUUAUUGGGCGUAAAGCGAGCGCAGGCGGUUAGAUAAGUCUGAAGUUAAAGGCUGUGGCUUAACCAUAGUACGCUUUGGAAACUGUUUAACUUGAGUGCAAGAGGGGAGAGUGGAAUUCCAUGUGUAGCGGUGAAAUGCGUAGAUAUAUGGAGGAACACCGGUGGCGAGAGCGGCUCUCUGGCUUGUAACUGACGCUGAGGCUCGAAAGCGUGGGGAGCAAACAGGAUUAGAUACCCCAGUAGUCCCUGUCUCUUAUACU